RNAcentral lists this ribosomal RNA (256 nucleotides) under uncultured bacterium. Its description in RNAcentral is "partial 16S ribosomal RNA". It matches the Rfam family "Bacterial small subunit ribosomal RNA", at positions 521 to 776 of the family's 1533-position model. The record is from RNAcentral.
UAAUACGUAGGGUGCGAGCGUUAAUCGGAAUUACUGGGCGUAAAGGGUGCGCAGGUGGUUACGUAAGUCUGAUGUGAAAGCCCCGGGCUCAACCUGGGAACUGCAUUGGAGACUGCGUGGCUAGAGUGUGGCAGAGGGGGGUGGAAUUCCGCGUGUAGCAGUGAAAUGCGUAGAGAUGCGGAGGAACACCAAUGGCGAAGGCAGCCCCCUGGGUUAACACUGACACUCAUGCACGAAAGCGUGGGGAGCAAACAGG